GAUCGUUGCUUGAUGAUAUUUCUUAAAAUCAGGCAACACUAGCCCUCCGUAAAUUCUAGGUCGGCAUAUGAUGUCGUGUCGAGUCCUAGAUCGUCUUCCUCGCCAUAUAAAUCUAAUCACCGCCGUUUUCAGGGCGGAGAAGAAGGUCGCCAGUAUUGCGAGAGGUAUAGUCUGCAUGAGAUAUAGGAUCCUCGGGAGUAUAUUCAUUUUAAUCACCGCGAUUCUUCCAUGCCAUGUUACAUGCGGAUAUGACCAUCUGGACAGGUCUGCAAGGAUGUUCUUUAAUAAAGGUAAAGUUGUGUUGAUAUAUAUUUUUCGGGUCCGUGGUCACACAGAUGCCCAGGUAUUUCAUCUUGCCGCGACACCAGUGGGAUGCGAAUUGCGAUUCUAAAGACAGGAAUUCCUCUGUGGGGAGUGUUAUGUUCAAGACCUCACAUUUCGAGAUGUUAAGCUUGAAUCCGGAUAUCUGUCCGAAUCUAUCAAAUUCUGAAAGGAGACACGGCAGUGUGAUUCUGGGGUUGUGGACAAAGAAAAGGAGGUCGUCCGCGUAUGCAGCCACUUUAUGUUGCACUCCCUGCCAGUCAUAUCCCUGUAUGUCUGGAUUUUGGUGGAUUGCCUGUAACAGAGGCUCCAGGGUCAGCGCGAACAGCAACGGUGAGAGUGGGCAUCCCUGUCGGGUUCCGUUGCUGAUAGCGAAAUCAGCGGUCGUGGCCCCAUUAUUCCUCACGGUUGUGUGCGGUCUGCUAUACAGGGCAGAUAUCCACGUAAGGAGUCUCUGACCACAGCCCAGCCGUCUUAGUGUCGCCAGCAUGUAUGUCCAAUUGACCCGGUCAAAUGCUUUUUCCGCAUCGGUUGAUAGCAGUAGUAACC
Molecule: non-coding RNA, 870 nt
Organism: Pelobates cultripes (western spadefoot toad)
Lineage: Eukaryota; Metazoa; Chordata; Amphibia; Anura; Pelobatidae
Source: the annotation of a GenBank genome assembly